Molecule: long non-coding RNA, 2629 nt
Filed under: Homo sapiens (human)
Lineage: Eukaryota; Metazoa; Chordata; Mammalia; Primates; Hominidae
Description: HSALNT0280687
Source: RNAcentral
AACACUUCAGCCCUGCUCGAAUCCUCAGAAGUUGGGCAUGAGGUGGGAGCAUGAGGAAGGACGCGAGGAGGAGCGGGGACGGACACAAUAAUCCCGAGGCACUGUUACCGCAGACUUGGAGGAAUGCGCACUGCUGGACGCGGCCUGGCCCACAGAAAAGAACUACAAAACAAAAAGAAUCCACUCAGUUGACAGCAAUGACACCAAGAGACACAGCAGAGAGGAGGGUCAUGGAGCAGCAUCCGAAACACCCACAGAAAGCAGCAGCAGAGAAUGCGGGCGCAGAGAAGGUGCCACAGCAACGCACAUAGGCAAGCUCAGGUGCAGGGGCACCUGCAAGCACCGCUCUGGGCUUCGACUCCACGUGAAACUUACUAACUGCUCUUUUUAAAAACAUGAACUGUUACCAUUGAAUGUAAACAUUAAAUGUUCCUGUCAUAUGUGGAGGGUGCAUCAUCAAGUUAGGACACUAUUUAUUUUCCAAACUCACAGCCAUGAAAUGCUCACAUUUUAUGGUAAGAAUUGUGAAAAUCUACAGAUGAACCAAAUACCUACAGCUGACACUAACAUGCUGCACCUAACAUUCAGUAGAUAUUCAUUAAAUGAAUGAAUAUGAUGAUCGGGCUGAUACCUUUGGCCACAUAAGUAUUUCCUCGUCUAAAAUCUAGAAUGUACCCUUAAUUUGCAAGGGUACAGUGUGCUAUCUACAAGGUAUUCUUACAAAAGAGACUAGAGAUUGAAAAUACCAUAACACCUAUUACAUUUUUGGAACAAAUAAUAUGUUCCUUGACGUAAGUGGUCAAAGUUUGUACUAGCUAGGUGACUCUAAGCCCAGCAAAGAACAGAGGUGAUCACUUCAUCCCCGUAACACGCAAGAACAGCAUGAAAUAGAGGCGGAAGGAACCACUCAGAUUCACCCACGGUCAGGCCAUCGGGAUGCGGGGACAGAGGGACGGUGCCACCGAGUGGCUGGCAAGGGAAGAUGUUUGAAAAGGCAGUUCCCUACUUGGAAACAGCAUAAACUAGGAGAGAUAAAGCAUGUUUUACCUCUGGGCAACAUGUGGAAUCGGCCUUUACAUGUCAUUAAGAUGUCUCUAGGCUCUUGUGGUAAUACACAUCAAAAUAUUAGAAAUGCGACUCCAGUGUCCCAGAGGGGGGUGGAGAACAUAUGUCACCAGGGUGAUAUAAAAGAAGAGCACCCUUACAUGUUUUUCCUUCCAGGGUUAAGUCCCCCCAGGCGAUCUGAGGACAGGAAUAGCAGCAUUCUUUCUACUGAUAUAACCAAUGACCGCAUUUCCCCCCCAUUUAGUUUUCUAUUUAGUUCCCUCUUUUUGAAUAGAAACUCCCACUGAGGCAGAGCCUGGAUGAUCUCUUUCACAAAGUACCCUACAAAGCCCAAGAGUUUGAGAAACAGAUUAUUUUUAAAGGCAUGGGGCAAGGUCGUCUCUCCUGCCCUCGAGUCCUGCUCUCUGCCUGUGCCCCAGCCCGUUUGCUGGAUAGAGCCGCCCUCUACACAUUCACACGCUGCGGAGUCACAGCCUCACUUUCCACAUUCAAGCCAGAAAGAACAGGAAGUAAAGGACGAACAAGGCAAAGGGGUGUCACCUGUUCAUCAGCACUAAACCGCCUAGUCAUCUGAAAGCAAAAAUACAUCAGGAAAUCAAAACCAGCUUUGAGCCAAGAACGCGUGCUUCUUCUAUUGCCCUCUCUCUUAAUCCAGGGCCGUGUUGGUCAAACCGCAGGGGGUGACCCAUGAGUGCAUCAUGGACUCCAUUUAGUGGGUCAUGAACAGCAUUUAAAAUGGAGCAGAAAAUUCGAGUGCAUUUCUCAUGGUCAGAGGGAAACUCUUUCCCAGCAUGGAUCCUGGGCAAGGCCUAGCACAGCACCCAGCACGUUAAGACUCCGAUGUUGAGCUGUGGCCCUGUGCGGUCAGUUCAAAAGGAUUUUUUUUUUUUUUUUUUUUACCAGGAAUUAAAGGUGAACUAAGAAAAGAGACCCCUGUGGCUGGUGGAGAAUCCAAGUAUCAUGGGCAUUCUGGUCUAUUUCCAGAGCCCUCUUGCUAUUUCGUUUGAAGGACACAGAUGAUUCGGUGACUUUUUGCAUGACUCUACUUUUUCAAUGGCUGUGGCCCACUCCUAAGAGUGGUUCUCGGGAGGCUGAGGCAGGAGAAUUGCUUGAACCUGGGAGAUGGAGGUUGCGAUGAGCUGAGAUCGUGCCAUUGCACCCCAGCCUGGGCAACAAGAGCCAAACUCCGUCUCAAAAAAUACACAAACAAACAAAAAACAUACCGGGCAGCAUGGUGAGACCUCGUAUCUAUAUUUAAUUAGAAAUAAAUAAAUAAACAAAAAUUUAAAAAAAACCCAAAGCACACCUUCCUUGUAGAAAACUGAGACCACUGAACUACAGAAGCUAGAACUAACAUCUCUUGAUAUUUUAGUCAUGAUUCUUCCAGUUUUUUUCCCUAUGACUGUGUAUGUUUUUAACUAACAAAACAGUACCAUCACAUACAUACGUAUAGAUACAGAAACAUGAGAUGGAUACAUACAUUCUGUGGUAUGGUUCUGUGACCUGCCUUUUUGUACUUGUAUCGUGAAUGUCUCUCCCUGGCAUUAAAUAUUCUAUCACAUCA